This 305-nucleotide ribosomal RNA is filed under the name uncultured bacterium. RNAcentral's name for it is "bacterial SSU rRNA". It matches the Rfam family "Bacterial small subunit ribosomal RNA", at positions 334 to 654 of the family's 1533-position model. The record is from RNAcentral.
GAGUACCUACGGGACGCAGCAGUGGGGAAUAUUGCGCAAUGGAGGAAACUCUGACGCAGUGACGCCGCGUAUAGGACGAAGGUCUUCGGAUUGUAAACUAUUGUCGUUAGGGAAGAGAAAGGACGGUACCUAAGGAGGAAGCUCCGGCUAACUACGUGCCAGCAGCCGCGGUAAUACGUAGGGGGCAAGCGUUAUCCGGAUUUACCGGGUGUAAAGGGAGCGUAGACGGCUGUGCAAGCCAGACGUGAAAGCCCGGGGCUCAACCCCGGGACUGCAUUUGGAACUGCGUGGCUUGAGUGUCGGAG